GACGAACGCUGGCGGCGUGCCUAAUACAUGCAAGUCGAGCGGAAUUUAGAAAGACUUGCUUUCUAAGGUUUUAGCGGCGGACGGGUGAGGUAACACGUGGGCAACCUACCUUGUAGAUUGGGAUAACUCCGGGAAACCGGGGCUAAUACCGAAUAAUCCAUUUUGCUUCAUGGCGAGAUGUUGAAAGACGGUUUCGGCUGUCACUAUAAGAUGGGCCCGCGGCGCAUUAGCUAGUUGGUAGGGUAAUGGCCUACCAAGGCGACGAUGCGUAGCCGACCUGAGAGGGUGAUCGGCCACACUGGGACUGAGACACGGCCCAGACUCCUACGGGAGGCAGCAGUAGGGAAUCUUCCACAAUGGACGAAAGUCUGAUGGAGCAACGCCGCGUGAGUGAAGAAGGUUUUUCGGAUCGUAAAACUCUGUUGUAAGGGAAGAACACGUACGAGAGUAACUGCUCGUACCUUGACGGUACCUUAUUAGAAAGCCACGGCUAACUACGUG
Molecule: ribosomal RNA, 501 nt
Filed under: uncultured bacterium
Lineage: Bacteria
Description: bacterial SSU rRNA
Rfam family: Bacterial small subunit ribosomal RNA
Source: RNAcentral